AUUGAACGCUGGCGGCAGGCCUAACACAUGCAAGUCGAGCGGAUGAAGGGAGCUUGCUCCUGGAGUCAGCGUCGGACGGGUGAGUAAUGCCUAUGAAUCUGCCUGGUAGUGGGGUAUAACGUCCUGAAACGGGCGCUAAUACCGCAUACGUCCUGAGGGAGAAAGUGGGGGAUCGUCGGACCUCACGCUAUCAGAUGAGCCUAGGUCGGAUUAGCUAGUUGGUGGGGUAAAGGCCUACCAAGGCGACGAUCCGUAACUGGUCUGAGAGGAUGAUCAGUCACACUGGAACUGAGACACGGUCAAGACUCCUACGGGAGGCAGCAGUGGGGAAUAUUGGACAAUGGGCGAAAGCCUGAUCCAGUCAUGCCGAGUGUGUGAAGAAGGUCUUCGGAUUGUAAAGCACUUUAAGUUGGGAGGAAGGGCAGUAAGUUAAUGCCUUGCUGUUUUGACGUUACCAACAGAAUAAGCACCGGCUAACUUCGUG
RNAcentral lists this ribosomal RNA (484 nucleotides) under uncultured bacterium. RNAcentral describes it as "partial 16S ribosomal RNA". It matches the Rfam family "Bacterial small subunit ribosomal RNA", at positions 30 to 507 of the family's 1533-position model. The record is from RNAcentral.